CACGGGGGGAGCAAGCGUUGUUCGGAAUCACUGGGCGUAAAGGGCGUGUAGGCGGUCAAGUAAGUGGAAUGUGAAAGCCCCCGGCUUACCCGGGGAUCUGCAUCCCAAACUGCUUGGCUUGAGUACGGGGGAGGAUAGGGGAAUUCCUGGUGUAGCGGUGAAAUGCGUAGAUAUCAGGAGGAACACCGGUGGCGAAGGCGGGUCUCUGGGCCGAUACUGACGCUGAGGAGCGAAAGCGUGGGGAGCAAACAGG
This 253-nucleotide ribosomal RNA is filed under the name uncultured bacterium. RNAcentral's name for it is "partial 16S ribosomal RNA". It matches the Rfam family "Bacterial small subunit ribosomal RNA", at positions 524 to 776 of the family's 1533-position model. The record is from RNAcentral.